GGAGCUACAAUUGACUUUAACGAAAUUUCAAUCUAAGCUUCUCGCGUAUGAAAUUAUGGAUUAUAAUAAUUUCAUUAUCAAUAUCAACUAAUAAACCAAUACAUACUACUAUAAACAUAUUAUUCUAUAUCCUCAUCAGCUUCCUCAACACCACCUUUCCCUCUAACAUUCUGAAUUAAGUCAUAUUCAGCUUCUUACAUUAUGUCAAUAUAGCAACCUGAUUUUUGCAACUUGAAAACGUCAUCAAUAUUAUCAAGAACGUUUCCAUCUUCCUCCUCCAUCUGUUUAGCAAUAUCCAAAUUAAAGACGUUAUCAUAUAAUUCCUCUAAACAAAUAGCCAUAGCAAAAACCGUGGAAUAAGUCAAGUUGUGUGCAAGAAAACUGUUGAGGCAAUGGGAUGGAAUUUUACAAGGACUCGCAAUACCCUAAUAUAUAGUGCUACAAACCAAGGUACUGUGUUCCAUGUUAGCUAUAAAAAAGGGAAAACGACAUAAAUCCCGAUAGUUUGGAGCUUAAUUAUCAAAGAUUUUGAUAUUUUGCAUGAUUACUAAAAAUCUCAAUUUCGGGUCUGUCGAGACACAUAAGUAGCUACCGAUACAUCCAAAGAAAUACAUAAUUAGUUGGGAUUCUUGUAAUUGCUUUAUAAGGAUGAGAAUUUGUAUAAAUAUGGUAAGUUGAGGUGUAUGCUUAUGUUAUUUUUUCAAGAAAAAAAAAUUCAAAUAAAAAAUUGAAUCAAACCAGUUUUUAUUUCAUAUUGUUGAUACACGCACACGCGCACACAUAUAUAUAGAUUAUUUUUAUAAAUAGCCGUAAGUUCUUUGUAUACUUUUUGUUUUUUAACAGCAUACGGGCAUAAUAUCCUAAUUUUUUUGCACUUAAUGGAGAUCUGGACCUUGUAGGCUAUUAAAAUACAUUUGUUUAUAUUGAGGUUCAAACACUUAAUAGAUCUGAACAUGUAGUAAUCAUUAAGAUCUUAAACAAAAUCUUAAUAUUAUUUAGUGUGUUAAAAAUAAUUUUGGAUUCGCUCCCUGAUGGAGUACUGGCAAAAUGUUGUGAGGCUCAUAUGUGGGGCUUAGUUCUGUGAAUCUUACGCCCUAUUUAAACGGAGGGAGUAAUCUGAAGCAAAACUAGUGCUCGGUUACAGGUUUAGCCUAGCUAAGUAGCUUUCUUUCAAAUAUGUUUUUAUAUUAAAAUAUUUAUUGAAUAUGUUCAAAUUAUUAAGAGACCUUGCAAUUUUAAAGGACUAUAACCUCGAAUCCAUAAGCUUUUAAGUCCUGACUUCUUCCCUAGGAGUAACGAGAUAGGUAAUUUUUGUUUUGAUAGAAGAGUGAUUAAAUGGUCUGUAUAAUAGUGACAAUAUUGCAAAGAACAGAAUUAAAAUAUGCUACUAGACUUGUUUUUGUUAGGGAGGGCUUUACCUCUGAAUAAUGUGAAAUUUUUUGGCGCGAAUUCGGAAUUAAUCAUACUUCAAUAUGAAUAUCAAACAACGUGUAAAAUGAAUUUAAAAUCAAAAUAAGCCACGAAAUAAAAAAAAUGACCAAAAUAGGUCACCUAUUUAAUAAAUUACCAAAAUAGGCUAAAUGUAAUAAAUUAUUAUGUUUAAUAUAUUUUUCUUAACGGUCAACUGACGGAAAUGAAUAGCAAACACUGUUUGUAAAACGUAAUAAUUUAUUACGUUUUCCACAAAAAAAUAAAGAAAAAGAGCAGUGUGUUGUCAAAACCAUCUUUAUGUCAAAUCAUGUAGUUUGUAAUAAUUUAUUACGUUUUACAGACAGUAAUUGUAAAACAUACUCCCUCCAUUUUAUUUUAGUUGGCCUUAUUGACUUGGCACACCCCUUAAGAAAUUAUUUAAUAGAAACUUAUUUUACUAACAUAACUCUAUUAAUUAUGCAUUGAAAAUAUGAAUUUGAGUAAAUAUACUUUGUUUAAUCAUUUAAUGUUGAGAGUAAUAUUGGAAAAAUAUAAUAAAAUCCUCUUGAUUUCAUCAAAGAGACAAAUAAAUUGAAUUAAAUAUUUUUAGAAAGAGGGCCAACUAAAACGAAAUGGAGAGAGUAAUAAUUUAUUAAGUUUUAUAAAUAAUGUUUGUACUUUGUAAUAAAUUAUUACAAACUACGUCUGCCCAUGUCCCAUCAACUUUACUUUUCCACUUUCAAAUGUAACCCCACUCACCCCACGCAGCUAACUGUUCCACCCUACCCCAGCCCCUUACCUUAUUUUAAAUGUAUCUUUUUACUACGUUUUUGUAAAAUAAAAUUUUUAAUUACACUUUCUUUAUUUUUUUAUUUAGAAAAAGUAACUUUUUAUACUAUUUAAAAUAACGUAAGGGGUUGGGGUGAGGUGGGAUGAUUAGCUGCAUGGGUGGGGUGGGUUACAUUUAAAAGAGAGAAAAUAAAGUUGAUGGGACAUGGGUAGGUGUAGUUUGUAAUAAUUUAUUACAAAGUACAAACACUAUUUGUAAAACGUAAUAAAUUAUUACAAACUACAUGAUUUGAAAUAAAGAUGGAUGUGACAACCCACUACUUUUUUUUUGUUUUUUGUGGAAAACAUAAUAAAUUAUUACGUAAUAAUUUAUUACGUUUUACAAACUUUACUAUUCAUUUUCGUCAGUUUACAGUUAAGAAAAAUAUAUAAAACUUAAUAAUUUAUUAAGUUUAAUCUAUUUUGGUAACUUAUUAAAUAGGUGAUCUAUUUCGGUCACUUUUUUAUGUCGUGGCUUAUUUUGAUUCCAAGUUCGUAUAAAAUCAAAACACUGAUGAAAUGUGGGAGUCCACCAAGUACAAGGGGACAAGGUCCCUCAGCAGACAAACACAACAAUAAUAGUUAAAAAAUAAAGACAAUGCACUCAAUAUUUACAUGGAAACAUUCUUGCUCAAAGUGAGUAAACACUUUGUUAAGGAAGUAUCCAUAGGACACUCCAUGUUUCCCAUCUUUGACAUGCAUAACCUUAUGCAUGUGCUCAAUCAUAGUGUAGGAAUAAUGAUCGACUCAAAAUUACUAUGGGAUUCCAUGAGAAACAAGUCUACUGCAGAUGCCACUGUGUGCUUAUCUGGCUUAGGAAGUAGGACCUUGUUCACAAACUCAAAUAGCAACUGGGAACUCCCCCUUCAGGAACUUCUUUCUUACUCCAUCUUUGGAUUUUCCUCCAAUUUUUGAAGCUAACUGCACAAACUCAAAUAGGGGAUCCCAUUAAUUGGGACCUCAAGAAUUUCACCAAGGGUCACCUCAUCUACGAAAAUCUUUAUACCUUGAACCAUAGCAGUCAGACUCAAUUGAUCCUCAGCAACCUUGAUAGUGUAGAAGAAAUAUUUGACCUCCUUUUCAUAAACAGUUGGUACUGGCGUCUCAAAAAAAUGAAUCUAAUCCUGAAGCUUAAUGAACUCUACUAACUCAUAUGGAUUUGAGGAUUUGAUUUUUCUCCUCUCUAGUGAGAAAUUUAACAGGCUUCUGCACUUUUCUUCAUUUGGAUAAGAUACCUAGUCCCUCAGUUGACUGACCCACUCCCUCAUAAAUGAGUGAGUCAGAUUUACGACUAGGUCCCUUGGCCACCUCAUCCCUUUUUCUCAUAACUGAAAUAUGAUUCUUUCCCCCAUCACAUUUUGUUUUUGGUGCGACAAACUUCGCAGGAUUUAAACUUCCAGCUUCUUUUCUUUUCUUACUUGUGGCGAUAGCCACAUCAGAAUCAAAAUCAUCCUUCUUAUCUUUAUCCCCCAUCUCUACAACCUCUUUGGUGGAAGGAUCUGCCUUCUUCUUCUCCGAAUUUUUCCUAGAGUUUCUCUUUCUAGCGGUAUCUCUCUUAUUAGCCUUCAAGGCAUCACUCAUAAGCAUUUUUUCUACCCCUAUCGAACUAUAAAAUUUCAUCACCAGCUUCUCAAAGACUUGCUUCUUUUCCUUAUAUUCCCAUUAUUCUACCUAACUCAAAGAAAGAUUACCUAAUUAGUUGCCCUUCUCAUCAUCUUCCACGUGAAGAUGAAGUAUUUUUUAGACAAAUUAGUGGAGAUUAGGGUCCCAUCAUACCUAGGACUUAGGGAAUUUGGUGGAGAUUUUGUAUAAAGGGAUUGAAAUUCCCUUGAGUCACAAGCCAGUCUAGUUAACUGUUUGCCAGCCAUUGUCCCUAGACUCCAGACUACUUAGAGGAAACCAUCACUCUUCAGUAAGAUCACCAUUAAAUAAAUGCUCCUCAACAGGAAAAGAUUUUGGAAUAGAGUGUGUACCUGAUUUUGUAGGGACUUCAGUUGAGGCUUCAGUCACAGUUAGCUCACUAGCAUUUUCAGGGUUGAGUGUGAUAGAUGAUGAGGAAACUAGCUCGGUGGUUGGAGAUGAAUGUUCGGCAUUGAUGAAGUCAAUUGCUGAUGGUGAAAUGGGUGAAGACGGUAUUUUACAUCAAAUGGGAGAUCCAAAAGGGGUAUCUAUGUCUGGUAGGGUGGAAGAAGUUUUCUCGGAGAGAGGAUUUUCAAAAGUUGGAGUAUGGUUUGCUGGUGGAGACUCGAUGGAGAGGGUGUUGUCUUCAGAGGGUGUUUGGUUCGGAGACAAAGAAUGAGACAAUUUUUUUGUUCUUUGAGAGAGAGAGAGAGAUUUGGAGAAGAUGAACAACAAUGAGGGAGUUAAGAGAGGAAAAAAAUGUUAAAGAAAUUUUUAAGAGAUGAAAAUAAUAACGAUGAUGAGUUUAGAGGGUGCAUUUAUGAAAAAGAGAAUGGGGUGACAUUUAGGAGUAAAA
RNAcentral lists this long non-coding RNA (4714 nucleotides) under Capsicum annuum. RNAcentral describes it as "long non-coding RNA (CANN_LNC008808)". The record is from RNAcentral. Lineage: Eukaryota; Viridiplantae; Streptophyta; Magnoliopsida; Solanales; Solanaceae.